Molecule: long non-coding RNA, 2251 nt
Filed under: Citrus x clementina
Lineage: Eukaryota; Viridiplantae; Streptophyta; Magnoliopsida; Sapindales; Rutaceae
Description: Citrus clementina (C. clementina) long non-coding RNA (CCLE_LNC005319)
Source: RNAcentral
UAUAAUAAUUUAUUUUCCACUCAAGUUUAUUUUUGUUAUUUUUUUUUUGUCAUCAAUAAAUGUGCACUCAUUAGGAAGCGUAACAAUUUCUCAAACUUUAGGUUAAUCAAUUAAAUAAAAAAAUAACUAAAAAUCAUUAGAUCAUACUUGAAACCAUUCGGUCAAACCCCGAUGGCCAAAAAAGUGUUAAGCUGUUAACCAAUUAAUUACUUAUUGUUUAAUAAUUGAACCUCAAGGUGGUUAUGUAAUACGUACAUAUUUCUGCUAGGACACUGAAAAAUUAUGUGAAUGGAAUGAAUAUGACCCAUCAGUGGACUUGAUGGAAAAAUUUCAGCACCAGCAUCAUUAAUUAUAUGAACUGAACAUUGAACAGAGGAAGAAUGGUAGGCGAUAUUAAUAAGCUUUCAUUUUCAUGGUUAGCUUGUGAUUUUGGUGUCCACCAAUAUUUAGAGUUUUUUUUUUUUUUUUUUUUGACUAGCGGAUAGCUAGUAGGGGCUGCUGGCAUGAAAUUUACACACUACACGCCGGAGAAGAAACAAGAACAUAAAUGAUAAAUGCAGAAUGUGUGAUCAUUUAUAUUAUUUGAACAAUUAAUUAGCUAGUUUUUAUCUUACAUUAUUAUGUGAACCGUAAAAUUGGGAGAGGUUUAGAGCUUAAUUAAAACUAUUAUUAUUUGGGUCCAUAUUAAAUAGUUUAAGUUUUUAGGUCAAACGGUUAUUUUUAUAGUUCUGUUCAUAUUUGAAAAAAAAAAUGACAUAGUUAAAUAUGAAAGUGAUCAGAGGCUGUUACUACCUUUACCAAUUAGUUUAAAUUUUAAAUUAGGCAUGCAUCUAUGGUGCAAACAUACUUAAAAUGAUUCGUUAGAAUUUAAUUACUAUUAUGGCUUGAACUCUUAUUCCUAAAAAAAUAUGUAGUAACUUAACUACUCAACAAUGGAUCAUGUAAACAUUGAAAGUGAAGAUGAGAGUAAAAACAAUUGACAUCUGAAAGAAAUACUGCCCGAAUCCUUUAAUCUAUCAUUCAAAGAGUAUAUAUGCACGGAUGAAUCUUAUAAACUUGUAGAAAUUUAGGUUAGAAAUAAACAUCCAAAGGUGAUCUGUCAUGGCCAAUUCGACUGUGACGACUGUGAUAAUAUAUUUAAUUGCAUUAUCAAGGUAAGAGAAAAGCAGCCAUCAUAUUGCUGAAUAUAGGGAUGACCUUAAUUAAGACUUUGAUUUUCUUUAUAUUUAUGCUGGUAUAGAGUCAUCUUCCUACUGCUGUACACAUAUAUAUAGGUAAUUACACCAAACUCAUAUAUUUAAAUGAUUACUUGAAACUAAACACAAAUUUUGAAAGGUCUUCACACAAAACUUGAAACAUUUUAACUCCUGUAUGCUAUAGACAAAUGUCAAUUACAUAUAUAGGGUUAAAAACAAAAUGAAAUUUUGAAUGCUGCAGUAAUGGAAUCUACAGCUUUAUAUGACGUGAAAUAGGCAAGAUUUGGUGCGAUGUCCUGGUACAAUUCAGAUGUGACUAAAUUUUUCUGUGCAUGCAUUUUGAAUUAAUCGACACAGAAACUUCAGAAAGAAACAAAACUACGGGCAUAAUUAUACUAGCCAAACUGUUCCGAGUUUCAACCUAUCUUGCCUUGAAAUUGAUACAAGCUAACAGAACAGAAGGUACAAGAGGGACCAAAACCGAAAAAAAUCAUUAACUUAAAAGAAGAAUAGAAAUUUCUUAAAAAUGGAAUCUUUCCAGUUUGAGCAUUAUAUCUGGUUUUUUUUUUAUUUUUUUUAUUUUUUAUAGAUAAAUGUGGAGAUAAACAACUCACAGAUCAAUUUUUUAGUCUCAUAUCUCUUUAAAAUUCAAACUUAGAUAACCUCUCAAAGAACACUAUUUAAAAAUUACUCAACCAAGUUAUUAGGGCUUUAGUUUUGAAAAUUCCUCAUACAAUAUUAAUGAUGAAAAUAAGUUAAGUAUUUAGUUUUGAUGAAAGAUGCAUUCAAUCUAAUAUUUUAUAUGAAGAGAAAGUCCUUGGUCCUAUUAGUCUAUCCAGUAUUUUUUAUUAGAUAAAUCCUAAUUUAGACUCUAUAUUUUGGAUUAAGCAUCUAUUUAGUUCCUAUAUUUUAAAAAAUAUUUUAAGAUGCUCAUAUUGUUAUAUAUGUUACACUUAUAUCAUUACUUUUUCUUGAAUUUUAUAAUAAUACCCUUUCAACAAUAUUUUUGGGGACAUUAGUAAAAUUAAAAUUAUUGCAAACUUUUUUGUUAUUAU